Molecule: transfer RNA, 76 nt
Filed under: Podarcis lilfordi (Lilford's wall lizard)
Lineage: Eukaryota; Metazoa; Chordata; Lepidosauria; Squamata; Lacertidae
Description: tRNA.Ile
Source: RNAcentral
GUAAAGCUUAGCUGGUUAGAGCGUGGGGCUGAUAAUGCCAAGGUUGCAGGUUUGAUUCCCGUAUGGGACAGCUACA